CAACUUCCUGUCAAUGUGUGAAUCUCAGAGUUGAAGUUCCUUAUUUCGUAAACGUCGUGAAUAUUGGAAAACAACGAGUGUGUAUGUGAAGUACUGUGCUGUUCCGUAGGAAAUCAUUAACUAUGGCAAGAAAAUAUCAAUUGUUUCAUGUCGUGAGUUUAUGUGGGCCGUGGGAAAAAAUGAACGUAUCUUCAAGGUCGUUCUUCAAUGAACUUCUUUCUAUGGCAAGACACGUGGGCGAUGGACCAGGGUACAGGGCAUUGAGCGACAGCUGUUGGACAACAUAUUAACAAAAACUGAAGGUCCGGGGUGAGGAGGCAGACAGCAGCAGCGGUUCCGCACACGACAAUUGCCGAAGGGGAAGAACCGAGAACAGCCGAAGUCGCGUGGAAGCAGUAAGUAGAAUGGAGGGGGAGUGCGGAGGAGGGGGAAAGUCGCGUGCAGUGCAUCUUGUUUGUAUUUCGAACUGUGUUCGAAUAGAAGCAGGCAGACCAAGUUAAGUUGCCGGCAGUUAAGACAACCACCUUCCAAAAACAGCAGCUUUCUUGGAAAAACAGUCCACUCCCCUCCCUCUGUGCCGUCGUCAGUGCUGCUAGACGUGUUAGUGACUCUGAUACCGAAAUUACUAAUAAAUACUGUGUUGUCAGGCAUCCUGGACGCAUUGGCGAGUGUAAAAAACAACUGUCAGUAAGUAAAAGACCGUCAUCGACUCUUCACAACAUCAGAAGAUAAACCAGAAGCUGAUCUACAGAAGAAAUUAUUUUCACCGCUUGUAUAAAAACGUGAAGAAAAACGACGUGGUUUGCCUCAAGGAACAAUAAUAAAAAAAAACUGCCACCAAAGUGGACGCAAAGGAUCCACCCCUUCGCCUCACCCCCAUCCCACUGCAUCAACCCCUAGAACGGUUUUUUGUGCUAUCAGGGUAUCAGAAAAAGAAAGUACCUUCACAGCAGGCGUAAACCGACGGUAAAAAUGGAUCAUGUGUUGUCAGUAAUAUAAACCAGAGCUUACAACUUUUUUGUGCUCGUGAUUGUGCGUGUUUGAAGACAGAAGACACAAAACGCUGUUAUUGGUAUACCAUCUUGGAAUUACUUGAAUUUGUGUUUAUGUGAAAUUACGAUUUUAAUCCUAACUACAGAACAUAUUUUUAGCCACAUUUCGAUACCUUUCCUAUCUGUUCAUAAUACAUCAAAAAUAUUACCAUCCCAGUGUAAGAACAUAAAGAAGACUUUUAUGCUGUAAAGAUGACUUACCAACAUAUUCAUUUAUGUUUCGAAUUGCAAGUGACAUAGAUAGCUGAAGACUGUUCAACAGUUGUGUUGAGUGUUGUUAUAACAGUACAGCUGUAAGACUCUGAUAGGUUAUAAACUGGAAAUUCAAGUUUUGAGAAGAUUCCGUUUCUUACUGAACGUUAAUUUAUCUUAGUAGAGAGUGAUUUCCAGAGUAAUAGUCGUUAUAUAUUAGCCUGAGUCGUCACGUAAUGUACUAACUAAAGUACACAAUGCAUUGUGACACUGGAAAAGGUUGACAUUUAAUUAAACCCUUAAUUUAGGGCAAACGUAUUUAAUUAUAGGCAUAAAUGACUAACGAACUUUACGCCAAGAUAGUUACAAGUGUUAAAAUGUGCAGUGUUGAAGGCAAAGGGUAAGAACCAAACUGUGAAAAUCCCGAUUCUCAUUUCAUCACGCGAAACUCCCGCCAAACACAGAUUUGAAUUGGUGAAAAAAAAACUUUUGAGACUACGCCGACGCUAUAAGGCCGCUAAGAUGUACCCGUGGUACCGCGACUCUGUGAGUCAGCUGGGACAAUUCUGCGCCCCGGGGAACCCAAUGUCCACAACCAUCAAGACGGAGAACGGCUACAAUGACUGUAUGCUGGCACUCGACUACGCUACCCAGAGUAAGUUACAGGAAUUUGCGGGGUCUUCUGGAAACAGGCACAGUGAUUUAAUCCGGAAUGAAGAAAGUUACAGCGACAGAAUCCCGCAGCCAGGAACUAGUAAUUCGUUCCUCAACCCACUGGCUUAAGUUGACGGCCGUGCGUCGUCCACCAG
Molecule: non-coding RNA, 2053 nt
Organism: Zootermopsis nevadensis
Lineage: Eukaryota; Metazoa; Arthropoda; Insecta; Blattodea; Termopsidae
Source: RefSeq, a predicted model, not a curated record